This 428-nucleotide ribosomal RNA is filed under the name uncultured eukaryote. Its description in RNAcentral is "bacterial SSU rRNA". It matches the Rfam family "Eukaryotic small subunit ribosomal RNA", at positions 592 to 1011 of the family's 1831-position model. The record is from RNAcentral.
CAAUAGCGUAUAUUAAAGUUGUUGCAGUUAAAAAGCUCGUAGUUGGACUUCUGGCAUGCUGCGCCUGGCCCGCCCGCGUUAGCGGUGUGAGUGCCGGUUUGCGCGGUUGCCAUCCUCUAGAGAAACUGGCCUGCCCUUCACUGGGAGGGGUCAGCGACUCUAGACAUUUACUUUGAAAAAUUAGAGUGUUUAAAGCAGGCAAUUGCUGUGAAUACAUUAGCAUGGAAUAAUGAUAUAGGACUUUGGUUCUAUUUUGUUGGUUGUUCGAGAACCGAAGUAAUGAUUGAUAGGGACAGUUGGGGGCAUCAGUAUUCUGAAGCGAGAGGUGAAAUUCUUGGACCUUCGGAAGACUAACAACUGCGAAAGCAUUUGCCUAGGAUGUUCUCUUUAAUUCAAGAACGAAAGUUGGGGGAGUCGAAGACGAUUAG